AUAAUACUCCCUCCGUACCAAAAUUCUUGUCUUAGAUUUCUCAAGAUACAGAUGUAUCUAACACUAAAAGGUGACUAGAUACAUUUGUAUUUCAAUAAAUCUAAGACAAGAAUUUUGGGACGGAGGGAGUACAAG
This is a non-coding RNA of Hordeum vulgare subsp. vulgare (domesticated barley), 135 nucleotides long. NCBI's taxonomy places the organism in Eukaryota, Viridiplantae, Streptophyta, Magnoliopsida, Poales, Poaceae. The record is from Rfam.